Molecule: transfer RNA, 72 nt
Filed under: Cavia porcellus (domestic guinea pig)
Lineage: Eukaryota; Metazoa; Chordata; Mammalia; Rodentia; Caviidae
Rfam family: tRNA
About the family: Transfer RNA (tRNA) molecules are approximately 80 nucleotides in length.
Source: Rfam by way of RNAcentral
AUGGAUGUAGCUCAGUGAUAGAGCACUUGCCUGGCAUGCACAAGGCCCUGGGUUCCAUUCCCAGUAAACAGA